UGUUAUUUAUACUGCAGAUAGAAUUGUUAAGAUGUAGGACCUAAUAAUAGAUAUCUUUUUCUCCAAUAGCUGAAAGCAAGGGAGAAGAAGUUGAUGCUACAGGAUGUAAUCCACUGAGUAUUGACAACUUCACCUUCUAUUCUAAGCUUGGUCAAGGAAGUUUUGGCAAGGUUAUGUUGGCUACACUAGGUGAGAGGAAGAAAUAUGUGGCUAUGAAGAUCAUAAAGAAAAAACCUGGGUGCCGUUUCAGCAGCAUCGUGACUGAGGCCAGUGUGCUUAAGCUCGCCAGUGCAAGCCCAUUCCUGUGCCAUGGUUACGCUGCAUUUCAAACACAGCGGCAUGCGUUCAUCACUAUGGAGUUCAUCCGUGGGGGCAGCAUUGAAGAUCAUCUGGCAAGAUAUGGACGUCUGGAGAUGAGCAGAGUACUGUAAGUAUUGGAUGGAAUUGUGCUUUAGUUGAAAUGAACUGGCACAGAAAAUGCAUUAUAAUUCUAUUGAGUAAUUGUGCAAUAAAUACAUGAGCAAUUAUAUGAAUUAUGUAAACUAUUUUCUUUUUAGGUUCCAUUCAGCGGAGAUUGUUUGUGGUCUGGAAUUCCUCCACCGCAGCGGCAUUGUCCAUCGGUCAGUAUAGCUCUGGUCUCUCUAAUGUUUAAAUUGUUAUUAUUUCUAACACCUGUUUAAAUACUUUAUUCUCUCUUUAUUACAGAGAUCUGAAGCCCGAAAACAUCAUGCUGGAUCAAGAGGGUCACAUAAAAAUAUGUGACUUUGGUCUGGCAGUUAAGAACAUGUUCGGUGAUAGGACCAUCAUUGGCCGAGCAGGGACACUUGGAUACAUGGCACCAGAGGUAAGAAAUACAA
Xenopus laevis (African clawed frog) is the source of this 857-nucleotide long non-coding RNA. RefSeq lists it as uncharacterized. NCBI's taxonomy places the organism in Eukaryota, Metazoa, Chordata, Amphibia, Anura, Pipidae. The transcript has 3 exons. The record is from RefSeq and is a predicted model, not a curated record.